RNAcentral lists this ribosomal RNA (89 nucleotides) under Staphylococcus hominis. RNAcentral also lists the same sequence under 1 other name. The record is from RNAcentral. Lineage: Bacteria; Bacillati; Bacillota; Bacilli; Caryophanales; Staphylococcaceae.
CCUGGUGAAAUUAGCGCUGUGGAACCACCCGAUCCCAUCCCGAACUCGGAAGUGAAACGCAGCUGCGCCGAUGGUAGUGUGGCUCAAGC